GAAAUGCGAUAAGUAAUGUGAAUUGCAGAAUUCAGCGAAUCAUCGAAUCUUUGAACGCACAUUGCGCCCCCUGGUAUUCCGGGGGGCAUGCCUGUUCGAGCGUCAUUUCACCACUCAAGCCUCGCUUGGUAUUGGGCAACGCGGUCCGCCGCGUGCCUCAAAUCGACCGGCUGGGUCUUCUGUCCCCUAAGCGUUGUGGAAACUAUUCGCUAAAGGGUGCUCGGGAGGCUACGCCGUAAAACAAACCCAUUUCUAAGGUUGACCUCGGAUCAGGUAGGGAUACCCGCUGAACUUAAGC
Molecule: unclassified non-coding RNA, 298 nt
Filed under: plant metagenome
Description: partial contains 5.8S ribosomal RNA, internal transcribed spacer 2, and large subunit ribosomal RNA
Rfam family: 5.8S ribosomal RNA (bases 1-105)
Source: RNAcentral